Oncorhynchus tshawytscha (Chinook salmon) is the source of this 380-nucleotide long non-coding RNA. Lineage: Eukaryota; Metazoa; Chordata; Actinopteri; Salmoniformes; Salmonidae. The record is from Ensembl.
UGUCAACGUCGAGUCUUCCCAAUCUGAUCAUUCAAGAGGAAAUGGCCUCCCGGAAUCCUAAAGCAGCUGAUUGGUCGGUCCCAUCCCUGAUUGGAGCUCUGACCCCUCCCUCUUGUCAGGGGAAACAGCUGUCUCUUCAAUUACCAACUCCUUCUCCAGCUUGAUAAAAGCCAGUGUUCCUUUGUCAGAGAGGAGAACUUUUUUAUUUUUUAAAUAUUUUUUUAAAUGACAUUUUUUAAUGUCCUGUGUUGGUUAGUGACAGUUUGGUUGAUAUUAUUAUGUAGCCACUCCUUCAGAGGGGGGGACGCACCUUGGGAGUGUUUAGAGUUCCUAGUUGUCUUGGAAAGCACCACGUAUCCAGAGAAUGACAGACUUUGAUG